UAUAAGAUUAUCGCUGAGCCUUCUCUAGGCUGAACACUCACAGCUCUCAGCCUUUUCUUGUAUUAGACAUACUCCACUUCCUUCAUCAUCUUCUUGGCUCUUUGCUGGACCCUCUCCAGUAGCUCUGCAGCUCUCAAAUAUCUAUCCAUUUCUAUUUAGCACCCUAUCUACCAAAUUGUGUCAUUUUAUUCAGGGUUUGUUUCGUCCUGUGUCACAGAAGGUUGCAAUGAGCCAUUGUAUGUAUUUUUUCUGCAUUCACAUGUAGAAAAAAGUAAGAUGUAACUAGAAACUAUUUUUCUGGUGCCCCUGUUUUGAUAGUUCUGCCAUGGUUUUUCUGCUUCUCUGUCGUCUUGCAUACCACUUCGGUCUGUGUGCUGUUAUGCUUGAUUACAGGGCCUGCCAGCAGAUAGGAAGCUGAAACUGUCCUUGAACUUUUCUCUCAGAUAUAUCAGUGUGAAUCCUAGACUAAUAUGGCCUCUGUGGGACUGCAGCAGUUCCCUACUGGUCUUACUUUACAUAGCAAUUGGUAUAAAUUCACAAUGGCUGCAUGUCUACCUUAUACAGGACUUCAUAAUAAUUAUAAUCCUUGUAUUAAAAAAAUGCAUAUAAUGUUUAAAGAUAGAUAAUAUUUAUAUAUGGGGAUAUUUUUACAAGUGAUUUUGACAAAUCAAGAUUGAUCCAAUAGCCUAUUUCACUCAUUUGCUCUGAAAAUCCUAAUAAAUAGCUUUACAAGUACAGAGAUUUCUGGAAAUGAAUGACUAAGGAAAAUCUUAGAGGAAGGUAAGUUAUUUUAAAGGGAUUGAGGCAGUAUCAGUAAAUAUUUUUCUAAAAUAAAAUAUAAAAGCCGAGACUGUUAUAUGAUCUGGCAAGCAAAUAUGUUUAUAGUUUUGGGUAGCAGACUGUUCUCUGCUGCCACUAUCAUUUCCAAAAGUUUUUGCUGCUAGCAAAAAAAGAAUUAUGAGACUGCUGUCCAUUCACAACAUAAAUUGUCAUAAUUUUGGACAAGAAAUGAACAUGUACCAUGUGAAAAUGUUUGUCCUUCCUAGAUAUCUUUAUCAGAGCAUGCACAUGGCUUUCCCCUUCCCUCGCCCUGCUGAAACCAGCUACAGUUUUGACAGGAAAAUGAUACAGUGUGUACAAUGAAUGCAUUCUACACCCUGGGUAUGAACUGAACCAGCUCUGGCAGGACUGUAGUUUAUCAUUCUUACAUGACAUGAAGCUGGUAAAAUACCAACUGCAGACUCUCUUUUCUUUCCCUUGACCUUGCACUACACUUGAGGUGUAAGACACAUCCAAGGCCCACUGCACUGGAAAACAACAUGUUUCUGACCAUGGUUCUGGACUUCUCCUGCCCAUGGACAGUCUGCUCAGCCAGCAGAGCCUGAAUGUGUUCAGGUGGGAAGAAGAGCUGGCAGUACACUAUGGUGCAGUUGUGUACCUGGCCACCCUUCAGAAAAACAAAACAAAACAGAACAGGACACUAACUUAUUUGUGUGGCAGGCACCAGGUCAGGAAGGAGCAGGACAAUUUGUGUGGUCAGGUGAAUAACCUUUUACAAAAAUUCCUCAGGACUUUGGACUGAGCAGUGCCUUGUAAGCCUACUACCUGCAGAUCCAGGCACACAGAACUGGAGGAAGAAUCCCAUCCAAGGCAUGCUCCUCUCCAUUUCACCUUAAAGGUGGUUUUCCUACGGCAUCUUCCAUGGAUUUAUUACAGCUUUGAAGUGCAAAAUGCAGAAAAACAUUAAGUCCAGCACAGGAUGGGGAAUGUGAACAGUCUUCCAACCAAUAACUUCAGAAAAAAGUGGGAACAACUCUUCGCUCACUCCUUUGCAGAGUAGUGUUUCAGAAGUAUGGCCGUUUCUUGUCUCCUGAUUACUGCCAGGCAUCCUUUCCAACAGGACACCACUUGAAUUUAGGCAAUUGACAGAAGCCACUGAUACACUGAAGAGGAACUUACUUUUUUUUUUUUGGCCAAGUUUUGUGACUAAAGGUCGGUCAAGCUCACCUGUCGUGUCUCCAGCAGUGGUCAACAGUGGCUUCUAACAGAAGGAGAGAAGAGGGAAAGCGUAUAUGAUCCUUCUCAGGAGUUCUCUCCCAUCUUUCAACAAUUUCUGCUACAAUAAAUGAUCUAUAGAUAUUUAGAAGCUUCUUGUGGCUUCCUCCUGAACAUGCCUAGCCCAGGUAACCAUUGCACAUGAUGAAGCCUGGCUGUCCAGGAGAUGGCUGAACACCUUCCUGCUGAUGGGAAGCACUCAAUGAAUUAAUUUUUCUUCACUGUCUUUACCUCAGCCCAUGAGUUUUCUCACUUACACCCUUCUGAUUUUCUCUCCUGUCCUGCUGUGAGGGAAUGAGCAAGUAGCUGUGUGGGAUUUAGCUGCCUAGGGAUGUUUAACCAUGACGUACACUAUUAAUGUAUAACUUUACAUGGCGUGAAGAAACACUGCUUUUUAGAUUGGUUUUAGCCUCCUGUUUGAUAGAUCCAUUUCUUUCCCCCUAGUUCUUAAAUGGGAAGAAAUAGUGAAUAAUUGAUUAAAAUUGGGAUUUUUUUUUGAAAGCUGAGUGUUUCCAUCAUUAAGCCUUUAAAGGAGUCUUUUUACGCCUUAGAUAAUCUUUGCUCUCUUGAAACUUUUGCAGAUCUACUAAAUUCUUUUGACCAUGAGGGACUUCUAUACAAUGUUCCAGACAUGGGUGCCCUGUGAAGUUUGUAAUGGCAUAAUGUUAUUCUGUCUUUUCUUCUCAACCUUGUUUGCUUUAUUGAUUGCUACUAAACAGCAAGAUUUUGUUUUUACAAAAUGGAUGAAUGUAUCUUAACACUGAGAACUCAUUUCUGAGUUCUAGCGCCUAGUUUAGAAUUCAUCAAAUCUUUUUUUUUUUUUUUCUAUGGACAUCUCCUGAGUUUCAUCAGUCUUCACAGUUGAACUGGUAACUUCAGUAACUUCCCUGUUUUCCAAAUUACAUAUGAAUGUGUUGAAUAUGAGUCUCAGAACAAAACCAUCCAACAAUCCACUGGUGACAUUCUUUCAUUGUAAAAAAUCAAUCAUUUUCUACUCUAUUUCUUAUAUGAACACAAAAUAAUUGAACAAUCUUCUACAUUAUCCCAUACCGUUAAGUUUCUUUUAGAAUCUUUGGUGAAAUACUCUUCAAAAACCCAGCUGGACUAUAUGAGCAAGAUGUUUCUUAUCCACAUGCUUGUUGUCCAGUUCAAAGGACCUCAAUAUGUUUGCCAGACAUGAUUUCCCUGUAUAAAAAGCAUCUUAAUCCUUACCUACUGUAUUGCUGUGAAUUACUGAAAACAAGGAUGUUCAUUUUCUUAUUUACCUUGUACAAGCCCAUGUGAUCCCAACAGGAUUAUAUCCCUGCAACUGCACAUUGAUCUCUAACUGCUUGUUUUUAUUCCCCAUGCUGCAUGUAUUAGUGUACAGGCACUUCAUAGAGGCACCCCACAAUGCUGAAUUCCAUAAAAGAGUCUGUUUUGUUUGG
Long non-coding RNA from Columba livia (rock pigeon), 3482 nucleotides. RefSeq lists it as uncharacterized. The record is from RefSeq and is a predicted model, not a curated record. The transcript is spliced from 4 exons. NCBI's taxonomy places the organism in Eukaryota, Metazoa, Chordata, Aves, Columbiformes, Columbidae.